This 302-nucleotide ribosomal RNA is filed under the name uncultured bacterium. RNAcentral's name for it is "partial 16S ribosomal RNA". It matches the Rfam family "Bacterial small subunit ribosomal RNA", at positions 508 to 809 of the family's 1533-position model. The record is from RNAcentral.
GCAGCAGCCACGGUAAUACGUAGGUGGCAAGCGUUAUCCGGAAUUAUUGGGCGUAAAGCGCGCGUAGGCGGUCUUUUAAGUCUGAUGUGAAAGCCCACGGCUCAACCGUGGAGGGUCAUUGGAAACUGGAAAACUUGAGUGCAGAAGAGGAAAGUGGAAUUCCAUGUGUAGCGGUGAAAUGCGCAGAGAUAUGGAGGAACACCAGUGGCGAAGGCGACUUUCUGGUCUGUAACUGACGCUGAUGUGCGAAAGCGUGGGGAUCAAACAGGAUUAGAGACCCCGGUAGUCCCUGUCUCUUAUAA